Molecule: long non-coding RNA, 273 nt
Organism: Cyprinodon tularosa
Lineage: Eukaryota; Metazoa; Chordata; Actinopteri; Cyprinodontiformes; Cyprinodontidae
Exons: 2
Source: RefSeq, a predicted model, not a curated record
CUGCAAUACAUUCUAUAGUUCUUGAGGGAGAGAUUGUGUGUUUGGCUUGAGGUCCCAGAGUUUCGUACGGAAAUGCUUUGGUCUGCCUUGAAGUCACUGGGAACUAAAAGAUCUUUUACGGUUUUAUUUGCUGAAUAAAUAAAACCAUAUUUAUUCAGCAUUUUGAUUGAAAAUGUGGUUGUUAUUUAUUUUAUUUUCUGUAUUAACCCCAUUGCUGGGGACAUUGUUCUGAAUUCUAAUGGAAUUCAUAAAUAAAUGGAAUCUGCAGUAAAA